This 63-nucleotide transfer RNA is filed under the name Hydrochus carinatus. RNAcentral describes it as "tRNA-Cys". Lineage: Eukaryota; Metazoa; Arthropoda; Insecta; Coleoptera; Hydrochidae. The record is from RNAcentral.
AGUUUUAUAUUCAACAAUGAUUUUAAAUUGCAAAUUUAAAGGUGGGAGGUAUCCCUAAAACUU